CUAAAAAUAGUUUAUUUAAAAUACCAGUUUUGGGAGGUGGAGAUCUCUAUGUUUUUUGGG
RNAcentral lists this transfer RNA (60 nucleotides) under Dugesia ryukyuensis. RNAcentral's name for it is "tRNA-Pro". The record is from RNAcentral. Lineage: Eukaryota; Metazoa; Platyhelminthes; Tricladida; Dugesiidae.